AACCACAUACCCACCAUACGACUGGAAUCACACAUACACUGCCACAAGAGGUCUGCAGUGAAGGUCCCAAAGUCCCAGACAAUAAGACUGAAAGCAACACCAGCCAGUCUUGGGAAAUAUAAAGUCACAAAUACAUUUUGAUAAUUUUUCAUUUUGUAAAGGAUCUUUCUGCUGAUGCAGCUGUUAAGAGUGUUUCAUAAACUGUGACAACACUGAGCAAAAUCAUAGAAGGAAACUCUAUGGACAAUUUCAGAUGGAGAAGAAGAAAGGACUGGAAGUUCAAUUUGGCCAUGACAAUUAGAGGCCAGGUGCAGUGCAUGUAAUCCCAGCACUUUGGGAGACUGAGAUGGGAAGAUCGCUUGAGGCCAGGAGUGCAAGACCAGCCUGGGCAACACAGCAAGACCUUGACUCUACUAAAAAAAAAAAAGGAUCCUUCAACUUCAACAAUAAUAACACGAGGGAAGUGAAGAAAAACACUUUCUAAGGAAAUCUCUCUCUGAGCUACCAUCCUGCUAGGGAGAGCCUGAAAGCAGAAUGCUGACUUGACUAGCUCUGGUCAAUGAAAGAAAUCACUAGUGGAAAGGCUACCAGGGGGCUUUCUCAAAAGAGAGGGACAGUAAACUGCAAGAUGAACAACUCAAUGCCAUCCAGGUCUGGAUGAGAAAGAACAGUCG
RNAcentral lists this non-coding RNA (674 nucleotides) under Pan troglodytes (chimpanzee). The record is from RNAcentral. Lineage: Eukaryota; Metazoa; Chordata; Mammalia; Primates; Hominidae.